UGCACAAGGUACAGACAAGUCUGGUGGGAUCCAUGCCUGGUUCAUUUUAAUAAACGUGAGCUUGUCGUUAGCCGUGGACAGGUGUGAUAACCUCGUGCCGAUCGCACAUCCCCGUGACGGCGACAACGCAUUUGGAUCUCUGCCCUAUCAACUUUCAAUCCUAUUUUCCGUGCCUACCAUGGUGACCACGGGUAAUGGGGAAUCAGGGUUCAAUUCCAGAGAGGGAGCCUGAGAAAAGGCUACCACAUGCAAGGAAGGCAGCA
Molecule: ribosomal RNA, 263 nt
Filed under: Pelobates cultripes (western spadefoot toad)
Lineage: Eukaryota; Metazoa; Chordata; Amphibia; Anura; Pelobatidae
Description: SSU_rRNA_eukarya
Rfam family: Eukaryotic small subunit ribosomal RNA
Source: RNAcentral